Molecule: ribosomal RNA, 308 nt
Filed under: uncultured bacterium
Lineage: Bacteria
Description: bacterial SSU rRNA
Rfam family: Bacterial small subunit ribosomal RNA
Source: RNAcentral
AGCUCUGUUGUAAGUCAAGAACGAGUGUGAGAGUGGAAAGUUCACACUGUGACGGUAGCUUACCAGAAAGGGACGGCUAACUACGUGCCAGCAGCCGCGGUAAUACGUAGGUCCCGAGCGUUGUCCGGAUUUAUUGGGCGUAAAGCGAGCGCAGGCGGUUUGAUAAGUCUGAAGUUAAAGGCUGUGGCUCAACCAUAGUUCGCUUUGGAAACUGUCAAACUUGAGUGCAGAAGGGGAGAGUGGAAUUCCAUGUGUAGCGGUGAAAUGCGUAGAUAUACGGAGGAACACCAGUGGCGUCGACGCGGCCG